This is a long non-coding RNA of Peromyscus eremicus (cactus mouse), 603 nucleotides long. RefSeq lists it as uncharacterized. NCBI's taxonomy places the organism in Eukaryota, Metazoa, Chordata, Mammalia, Rodentia, Cricetidae. The record is from RefSeq and is a predicted model, not a curated record. The transcript has 2 exons.
CCACCACCCUCACCCCCAGAGACUUCCUAGGACCAAAUGUCCCCACUAUGGUCUUCUUCCCCUUGGCCACUCAGAGGUGACACCUUCCCUCACAGAGCACAGAGAUGCUAACAAUGGCAGCAAUAGCAGUAAUAAUAGAGCCUAGCGCCCCACACCUACGACUGGAGUCUCCACCAUGUGUCAGACACAAACUGUUGGCCCUGCUGCUGUUGUCCGUCCCCACUGUAUUCCUUCAGACUACGGUUUAGUGUCACUGUGAGGGGAAACUGCUCAGAGACGCCAAGUAGCUCCACGUCCUUCAACCUAACAAGGAAGCCUCUGAGCUGCACUUCGACCCUGUGUCUGCUUUUACCAAUAACCUGGUGGGGAAUGAUAUUUUAGGCAGAGCCAGAGAGAUGGAGAGGGAACACGUGAGAAACUUCCAGGAAGAUUGGAGAAUAAAUGGUCAGCACUGUCCUGGACAUCCUUUGCCUCAGUCAUGAGGGCCAGCCUAGUUUGCUGUUACAUUCCUGGCGUCUAGCACAUAGGAAAUCAAGAAAUGUGAAGUGAAGGAAGACAAUGGAUUCUCAAUAAAUUUGCUCUGGAUUGAUCUGAAAUUUAAAA